This 198-nucleotide ribosomal RNA is filed under the name uncultured bacterium. RNAcentral describes it as "partial 16S ribosomal RNA". It matches the Rfam family "Bacterial small subunit ribosomal RNA", at positions 1303 to 1500 of the family's 1533-position model. The record is from RNAcentral.
GGCUGAAAUUCGCCUUCCAUGAAGCCGGAAUUGCUAGUAAUGGCAGGUCAGCAUACUGCCGUGAAUACGUUCCCGGGCCUUGUACACACCGCCCGUCACACCAUGAGAGUUGGGAAUACCCGAAGCCUGUGAGCUAACAUUAAGAGGCAGCAGUCGAAGGUAGAAUCAAUGAUUGGGGUGAAGUCGUAACAAGGUAAC